AACGAACGCUGGCGGCAGGCCUAACA
Molecule: ribosomal RNA, 26 nt
Filed under: Rhodovulum sulfidophilum
Lineage: Bacteria; Pseudomonadati; Pseudomonadota; Alphaproteobacteria; Rhodobacterales; Paracoccaceae
Description: partial 16S ribosomal RNA
Source: RNAcentral